Molecule: long non-coding RNA, 949 nt
Filed under: Oryzias javanicus (javanese ricefish)
Lineage: Eukaryota; Metazoa; Chordata; Actinopteri; Beloniformes; Adrianichthyidae
Description: lncRNA (ENSOJAG00000000801.1)
Source: RNAcentral
AUCUGCCAAGCAGACUGUGAGCGUAAGUACACCGCUGGUCUGACCCGCCAAAGGAUCUGGUAAUUCAUCUUUAAGAUUAAAAAAAAAAAAAAAAGUUUCAGUGUAACUGUCUUUUUUAAUAUUCUUUCAGAAAAGUGUGAACCUCAGAAUUUAACAGAGUUGAUAAUAGUAACCACCAGCAUCAGUUUAAACCAUCCAGCCAACUGCACAUUAUCCACCGGUAACCAAACAAAAGAAGGAACACUGACUGAUCUGUUCCCUGGAACCGUCUAUGAAGUCAACUUUAAAUGUUUUAACUGCUGUGGAAAUAUCACAACCAAACCGGAUAAAGUCAGAAACCUCACUGUUACUGAAGUCACCACUGUCUCUAUGACUCUGAGCUGGAUGGAACCAUUGGGAAACAGUUCAUUCUAUGAAGUACAAUGGUCAGAUGGAUCAUCUACUCUAAAAGACAAUGUGACUGAUAAAAACAUGAUUAUAUCUAACCUGACUGCUGGUGUCCAGUAUGGCAUAAAUGUCACAGCUGUGGCUGCAGAUAAGCAAACUAAAGGAGAGAGUGUGUUUACCUCCAACUAUACAAAACCAGAUAAAGUCAGAGACCUCACUGUUACUGAUUGCACCACGUCCUCUAUAUCUCUGAACUGGACCGACCCAUCAGGAAUCAGCUCCUACUAUGAAGUACAAUGGUCAAAUGGAUCACAUAUUUGGAAUGUCAAUGUGACUGAUAAAAACGUGACUAUAUCUAACCUGACUGCCGGUGUCCAGUAUGGCAUAAAUGUCACAGCUGUGGCAGCAGAUAACCAAACUAAAGGAUGGAGUGCGUUUACCUCCAACUAUACAAGUAAGAACACACGGAAACCAUUUCAGACUUGCUAAGAGAUGACUACUACAAAAUAUCUUAAAUUAAUUCUGGGGUCUCCAUCUUUAACCUCUGUAACCACAUGCGACU